Molecule: ribosomal RNA, 1373 nt
Filed under: metagenome
Description: bacterial SSU rRNA
Rfam family: Bacterial small subunit ribosomal RNA
Source: RNAcentral
AGAGUUUGAUCCUGGCUCAGGACGAACGCUGGCGGCGCGCCUAACACAUGCAAGUCGAACGAGCGAGAGAGAGCUUGCUUUCUCAAGCGAGUGGCGAACGGGUGAGUAACGCGUGAGGAACCUGCCUCAAAGAGGGGGACAACAGUUGGAAACGACUGCUAAUACCGCAUAAGCCCACGGCUCGGCAUCGAGCAGAGGGAAAAGGAGCAAUCCGCUUUGAGAUGGCCUCGCGUCCGAUUAGCUAGUUGGUGAGGUAACGGCCCACCAAGGCGACGAUCGGUAGCCGGACUGAGAGGUUGAACGGCCACAUUGGGACUGAGACACGGCCCAGACUCCUACGGGAGGCAGCAGUGGGGAAUAUUGCACAAUGGGGGAAACCCUGAUGCAGCGACGCCGCGUGGAGGAAGAAGGUCUUCGGAUUGUAAACUCCUGUUGUUGAGGAAGAUAAUGACGGUACUCAACAAGGAAGUGACGGCUAACUACGUGCCAGCAGCCGCGGUAAAACGUAGGUCACAAGCGUUGUCCGGAAUUACUGGGUGUAAAGGGAGCGCAGGCGGGAAGACAAGUUGGAAGUGAAAUCCAUGGGCUCAACCCAUGAACUGCUUUCAAAACUGUUUUUCUUGAGUAGUGCAGAGGUAGGCGGAAUUCCCGGUGUAGCGGUGGAAUGCGUAGAUAUCGGGAGGAACACCAGUGGCGAAGGCGGCCUACUGGGCACCAACUGACGCUGAGGCUCGAAAGUGUGGGUAGCAAACAGGAUUAGAUACCCUGGUAGUCCACACUGUAAACGAUGAUUACUAGGUGUUGGAGGAUUGACCCCUUCAGUGCCGCAGUUAACACAAUAAGUAAUCCACCUGGGGAGUACGACCGCAAGGUUGAAACUCAAAGGAAUUGACGGGGGCCCGCACAAGCAGUGGAGUAUGUGGUUUAAUUCGACGCAACGCGAAGAACCUUACCAAGUCUUGACAUCCUGCGACGCACAUAGAAAUAUGUGUUUCCUUCGGGACGCAGAGACAGGUGGUGCAUGGUUGUCGUCAGCUCGUGUCGUGAGAUGUUGGGUUAAGUCCCGCAACGAGCGCAACCCUUAUGGUCAGUUACUACGCAAGAGGACUCUGGCCAGACUGCCGUUGACAAAACGGAGGAAGGUGGGGAUGACGUCAAAUCAUCAUGCCCUUUAUGACUUGGGCUACACACGUACUACAAUGGCGUUAAACAAAGAGAAGCAAGACCGCGAGGUGGAGCAAGACUCAGAAACAACGUCCCAGUUCGGACUGCAGGCUGCAACUCGCCUGCACGAAGUCGGAAUUGCUAGUAAUCGCAGAUCAGCAUGCUGCGGUGAAUACGUUCCCGGGCCUUGUACACACCGCCCGUCACAC